UACGUAGGGUGCGAGCGUUGUCCGGAAUUACUGGGCGUAAAGAGCUCGUAGGUGGUUUGUCGCGUUGUCCGUGAAAACUCACAGCUUAACUGUGGGCGUGCGGGCGAUACGGGCAGACUGGAGUACUGCAGGGGAGACUGGAAUUCCUGGUGUAGCGGUGGAAUGCGCAGAUAUCAGGAGGAACACCGGUGGCGAAGGCGGGUCUCUGGGCCGAUAUUGACGCUGAGGAGCGAAAGCGUGGGGAGCAAACAGG
RNAcentral lists this ribosomal RNA (253 nucleotides) under uncultured bacterium. Its description in RNAcentral is "partial 16S ribosomal RNA". It matches the Rfam family "Bacterial small subunit ribosomal RNA", at positions 524 to 776 of the family's 1533-position model. The record is from RNAcentral.